Molecule: long non-coding RNA, 209 nt
Filed under: Mytilus galloprovincialis (Mediterranean mussel)
Lineage: Eukaryota; Metazoa; Mollusca; Bivalvia; Mytilida; Mytilidae
Source: RNAcentral
AUUUUAUAAUUUUAAAUGUAUAGUGUACAUACAAGUUCCUGUUUUAACUAAUUUUUAGUUUCAUCCUAUUCUAACUGUUAAUAUUAUUUUAAAUUUUAACCAGUAGAUAAAAUUUUAAACAACGCAAUUUUAAAAAUAAACAAAAUUUUUAAAUGCGGUGACCCUGCAGAUAGGGUGGACUUCCAGAAGAAGAAGAAGAAGAAGUAGCA